GACGAACGCUGGCGGCGUGCUUAACACAUGCAAGUCGAACGGAAAGGCCCUGCUUUUGUGGGGUGCUCGAGUGGCGAACGGGUGAGUAACACGUGAGUAACCUGCCCUUGACUUUGGGAUAACUUCAGGAAACUGGGGCUAAUACCGGAUAGGAGCUCCUGCUGCAUGGUGGGGGUUGGAAAGUUUCGGCGGUUGGGGAUGGACUCGCGGCUUAUCAGCUUGUUGGUGGGGUAGUGGCUUACCAAGGCUUUGACGGGUAGCCGGCCUGAGAGGGUGACCGGCCACAUUGGGACUGAGAUACGGCACAGACUCCUACGGGAGGCAGCAGUGGGGAAUAUUGCACAAUGGGCGGAAGCCUGAUGCAGCAACGCCGCGUGCGGGAUGACGGCCUUCGGGUUGUAAACCGCUUUCGCCUGUGACGAAGCGUGAGUGACGGUAAUGGGUAAAGAAGCACCGGCUAACUACGU
Molecule: ribosomal RNA, 467 nt
Filed under: uncultured bacterium
Lineage: Bacteria
Description: partial 16S ribosomal RNA
Rfam family: Bacterial small subunit ribosomal RNA
Source: RNAcentral